CGCCCUUAGAGUUUGAUCAUGGCUCAGAUUGAACGCUGGCGGCAGGCUUAACACAUGCAAGUCGAACGGUAUAGGUGCUUGCACCUGACGAGUGGCGGACGGGUGAGUAAUGUAUGGGGAUCUGCCGAAUGGAUUGGGACAACCACUGGAAACGGUGGCUAAUACCGAAUAAUGUUGAGAGACCAAAGUGUUUCGACAUGCCAUUUGAUGAACCCAUAUGGGAUUAGCUAGUAGGCGGGGUAAUGGCCCACCUAGGCGACGAUCUCUAGCUGGUCUGAGAGGAUGACCAGCCACACUGGGACUGAGACACGGCCCAGACUCCUACGGGAGGCAGCAGUGGGGAAUAUUGCACAAUGGGGGAAACCCUGAUGCAGCCAUGCCGCGUGUAUGA
This 391-nucleotide ribosomal RNA is filed under the name uncultured Enterobacteriaceae bacterium. RNAcentral describes it as "bacterial SSU rRNA". It matches the Rfam family "Bacterial small subunit ribosomal RNA", at positions 1 to 408 of the family's 1533-position model. The record is from RNAcentral. Lineage: Bacteria; Pseudomonadati; Pseudomonadota; Gammaproteobacteria; Enterobacterales; Enterobacteriaceae.